Molecule: RNase P RNA, 368 nt
Filed under: Candidatus Aquirickettsiella gammari
Lineage: Bacteria; Pseudomonadati; Pseudomonadota; Gammaproteobacteria; Legionellales; Coxiellaceae
Description: Bacterial RNase P class A
Rfam family: Bacterial RNase P class A
About the family: Ribonuclease P (RNase P) is a ubiquitous endoribonuclease, found in archaea, bacteria and eukarya as well as chloroplasts and mitochondria.
Source: Rfam by way of RNAcentral
AGAGCUGGCUAGACAGUCGCUGUAGUUACUACAGAGGAAAGUCCGGGCUCCAUCGGGCAGAGUGCCAGGUAAUGCCUGGGAGGCGCAAGCCUACGGAAAGUGCCACAGAAAAUAGACCGCCUAUCAACUAUAGUUUCGUCUUGUAGAUGCGAUUAUACGCGAGGUAAGGGUGAAAAGGUGUGGUAAAAGCACACCGCAUCAUUGGUAACAGUGCUGGCAGGGCAAACCCCACUCGGAGCAAGACCAAAUAGGGACCUUUAGGCGUGGCCCACGCUAGGUUCGGGUAGGUCGCUUGAGGUGUAUGGUGACGUAUAUCCUAGAUGAAUGACUGUCCACGACAGAACCCGGCUUAUCGGCCAGCUCUCUAU